CAAUCAAAAGAUUAAAAAUUAUCUCUCUUCAAGCAUGCAUUUGGUUCAAGCAAUAGAAGCAUUGGUAGGUUACAUUGAUAAUGAUUCUUUAUCUCUACAGUUCUCUAAGCUUAAAGAAAUGAAGCUGAACCUAAACAUAAAUGAUUUUAAUGACUCAUUUCAGCUAGAAUUGUCCCGUAAUUGCACUUCUGAGGCUACAAGUAAAGUACUAGAGCAGUAUGAGAAGUUUAAAAAUGUAAGUUAUCAAGUCACUUCCACUCCUAAUUCUUAUGUUGUAGUUUCACCAAGAUCACAGUACAGUGUUUCAUUGUGCUUGGCUUCUUGCACAUGUGCUUUUUAUAACCAGUACACUCUGCCUUGUGCACAUAUUUUAGCAGUGCGUGACUUUACUAAGCAAGAUCUUUUCGACAAGGCUUGCAUACCAGACAGGUGGUGCAAGGAUCAUUUCCUGAGUGACAGCUGCACAACCACUAGUGCCACACCAGUGGUAACAAGCAGCAUUCAGUCACCACCCUGUGUGAAGCUUGACACUGCACAAGAGAAGUCCAGUACAUUGUGGACUCACCCUGUUGUCAAGUCAUCAGGAAGUUGGAUGAUGCUGUCUUCUUCUAGCUAAAUUAUGCAACUACUAAGAAGGGGAUCAGAAUUCUAUUUUGUAGCAGUUAUUUUACAAAUAAAUGUUAGUAAAAUUUUU
Molecule: RNA transcript, 694 nt
Organism: Rhipicephalus microplus (southern cattle tick)
Lineage: Eukaryota; Metazoa; Arthropoda; Arachnida; Ixodida; Ixodidae
Source: RefSeq, a predicted model, not a curated record